AAGAAGGAUAAACUGUUUCGCUAUUACGAAAAUAAAUGACACGCAUGUAUUGUCGGUAUGUAUGCGUAACACAAUGACUAUAGUUUUUAUUUAAAAUUACUUUACGAGGUACAUUUAUAUAUACAUAAAAAAUGUAUGACUAAUACAUUUAAGCUUACGCAAUAUGGACAUAUUCGGACACGUGCAAUAAUGUAUUUGUAACACUUUUUUUCAUUUUCAUUCUUAUAUUCCUCGAUUUUAAUUUUUUUUNNNNNNNNNNNNNNNNNNAUUUUGUUUACUUAUUAGAAUCGAUUUUCGAUGCAAAUUAUCAACGAGUUACAUCNNNNNNUAACUUGUAUCGAUUUUUUAUGAACGAUACCGGAAUGUUGCAAGUUUCUGCUCGAAACAAAUAAAAUUCUCAUAAAACAUCAACAACUUCCGAACGAUCGUCACGCGCGAUCUCGAAAUCAGUAACGAAUCGAAUUCGGUCGAGUCGAGUCGAGUCGAAUUGACAGUAAAGCGCCGAAGCGCGGAAAAGGUGCAUAAAGGCUCGUUCGUUCCAACGACGCUGUGUCUGAUGAUUGCUGAGCGGUUUCGGAUCGUCGUCACUCGCGUUCUACAAAGAAGCGGUACGAACGUAACGAUAGCCUCGUGAUUACAUCGAUACACGAUCGACGACCAGUUUCGCGUCUUUCUUCAUUUGGCGUCGUCCUGUUCCAUCGGCUCCUCGGAAACUUCUCGGGAAUGUUCUGGGGUAGUUCUGAAAAAUCGCAAAUCGCUGCGAGUGAAUCUUUCGAAAUCUCGAAUAGACAGUAGAUGGAUAAAAAAAUCGAAUCGAACUUAAUAUCAUGAUAUCGACGUACGUUAAAUUGGUAGGCUGCUGCAUCGAUAAAGAGGCCAUCGCGGAGACUGUCUCUGUCUCGUCGCGUUCCUUUUGUCCGGCUUCGAUCGCGCUCAUCGAAGCCGUGUGCGCGUUCAACUUGACGCAAGGCCAAUGAGACAUCUGCGUGCGAACGAA
This 997-nucleotide long non-coding RNA is filed under the name Apis dorsata (giant honeybee). RNAcentral's name for it is "uncharacterized LOC116186346". Lineage: Eukaryota; Metazoa; Arthropoda; Insecta; Hymenoptera; Apidae. The record is from RNAcentral.